GGCUGCACCAAUUUACAUUCUCACCGACUGUGUGAGCGGGAGGAACACCAACAUUUUAAUGGAGAGUAACAGGGGAUAAGCUGGUAAACGAGGCUGGGAAAGAGCGGCCAGGGAGGAGGAGGUGCGGAGAAAUUGAGCCCAAGAUGAGAGGACUUUUUGGUCUGAACUUCUCCAGAAAACAGACAUUGGCUUCUGGAGAAGGAACAUGAAGAUUUAUUGAUCCCCAAAUAUCUUUCAGAACAACAGAUUUUGAAAUUCAUCACAACACAAAGUCGAUACAUAUGUGACAGAUUCUGAAUGCCUUCGGUAGUGGAAAACUUCAGAACUCUGCAUAUGUAACAUUUAAACAGGAAACUAAAAUGCGUAUAUACACUUGCAAAUGAUGUUUGAUUUCAACUAAAAGAGGGGCAGAUUCCUGGCAACUUUGCACAGCUAAUGACUCUUCAAUUCUAAAAAAAUACAGCAUAGUUCAUUUUCCUCCAUCCUUCAGCAAAUAUUAAAUAUUUCAAGUUUUUUUUUU
Molecule: long non-coding RNA, 520 nt
Filed under: Sus scrofa (pig)
Lineage: Eukaryota; Metazoa; Chordata; Mammalia; Artiodactyla; Suidae
Description: lncRNA (ENSSSCG00070012746.1)
Source: RNAcentral